Molecule: unclassified non-coding RNA, 339 nt
Filed under: soil metagenome
Description: partial contains 5.8S ribosomal RNA, internal transcribed spacer 2, and large subunit ribosomal RNA
Rfam family: 5.8S ribosomal RNA (bases 1-120)
Source: RNAcentral
GAUGAAGAACGUAGCGAAAUGCGAUACGUAGUGUGAAUUGCAGAAUUCAGUGAAUCAUCGAAUCUUUGAACGCACAUUGCACCUCUCGGUAUUCCGGGAGGUAUGCCUGUUCGAGCGUCAUUUGUACCCUCAAGCUCUGCUUGGUGUUGGGUGUUUGUUCCGCCUCUGUGUGUGAACUCGCCUCAAAACAAUUGGCAGCCGGCGUACUUGUUUCGGAGCGCAGCACAUUUUGCGAUCCAGAUCAACGUACAGCGGCAUCCAAGAAGCCUUAUUUAACGCUCUUGACCUCGGAUCAGGUAGGGAUACCCGCUGAACUUAAGCAUAACAAUAAGCGGAGGA